AUCGAAUCUUUGAACGCACAUUGCGCCCUCUGGUAUUCCGGAGGGCAUGCCUGUUUGAGCGUCGUUU
This 67-nucleotide ribosomal RNA is filed under the name Candida albicans. Its description in RNAcentral is "partial 5.8S ribosomal RNA". It matches the Rfam family "5.8S ribosomal RNA", at positions 91 to 154 of the family's 154-position model. From Rfam's summary of the family: 5.8S ribosomal RNA (5.8S rRNA) is a component of the large subunit of the eukaryotic ribosome. It is transcribed by RNA polymerase I as part of the 45S precursor that also contains 18S and 28S rRNA. Functionally, it is thought that 5.8S rRNA may be involved in ribosome translocation. Lineage: Eukaryota; Fungi; Ascomycota; Pichiomycetes; Serinales; Debaryomycetaceae. The record is from RNAcentral.